RNAcentral lists this ribosomal RNA (1051 nucleotides) under uncultured archaeon. RNAcentral describes it as "bacterial SSU rRNA". It matches the Rfam family "Archaeal small subunit ribosomal RNA", at positions 1 to 1054 of the family's 1478-position model. The record is from RNAcentral.
UCUGGUUGAUCCUGGCGGAGGUUACUGCUAUCGGUGUUCGCCUAAGCCAUGCGAGUCAUAUGUUCGUAAGAACAUGGCGUACUGCUCAGUAACACGUGGAUAACCUGCCCUUGGGUCCGGCAUAACCCCGGGGAACUGGGGAUAAUUCCGGAUAACGCACAUAUGCUGGAAUGCUUUUUGCGUAAAAUGGAUUCGUCUGCCCAAGGAUGGGUCUGCGGCCUAUCAGGUAGUAGUGGGUGUAAUGUACCUACUAGCCUACGACGGGUACGGGUUGUGAGAGCAAGAGCCCGGAGAUGGAUUCUGAGACAUGAAUCCAGGCCCUACGGGGCGCAGCAGGCGCGAAAACUUUACAAUGCGGGAAACCGUGAUAAGGGGACACCGAGUGCCAGCAUCCCAUGCUGGCUGUCCGGGUGUGUAAAAUACACCUGUUAGCAAGGGCCGGGCAAGACCGGUGCCAGCCGCCGCGGUAACACCGGCGGCCCGAGUGGUGAUCGUGAUUAUUGGGUCUAAAGGGUCCGUAGCCGGUUUGGUCAGUCCUCCGGGAAAUCUGACAGCUCAACUGUUGGGCUAUCGGAGGAUACUGCCAGACUUGGAACCGGGAGAGGUAAGAGGUACUACAGGGGUAGGAGUGAAAUCUUGUAAUCCCUGUGGGACCACCUGUGGCGAAGGCGUCUUACCAGAACGGGUUCGACGGUGAGGGACGAAAGCUGGGGGCACGAACCGGAUUAGAUACCCGGGUAGUCCCAGCCGUAAACGAUGCUCGCUAGGUGUCAGGCAUGGCGCGACCGUGUCUGGUGCCGCAGGGAAGCCGUGAAGCGAGCCACCUGGGAAGUACGGCCGCAAGGCUGAAACUUAAAGGAAUUGGCGGGGGAGCACAACAACGGGUGGAGCCUGCGGUUUAAUUGGACUCAACGCCGGACAACUCACCGGGGGCGACAGCAAAAUGUAGGCCAGGCUGAAGACCUUGCCUGAAUCGCUGAGAGGAGGUGCAUGGCCGUCGCCAGUUCGUACUGUGAAGCAUCCUGUUAAGUCAGGCAACGAGCGAGACCCA